RNAcentral lists this long non-coding RNA (358 nucleotides) under Brassica napus (rape). Its description in RNAcentral is "long non-coding RNA (BNAP_LNC017598)". Lineage: Eukaryota; Viridiplantae; Streptophyta; Magnoliopsida; Brassicales; Brassicaceae. The record is from RNAcentral.
UAGUUUAGGUGGUUAGUUAGGUAAUUAAUUUAGGUGAUUAGUUAGGUGAUGGAAUAAUAGUUUAGGUGAUUAGUUAGGUGACGGAAUAAUAUUUUAAUUAUGUCAUAAUUGAUUAAAUUUAUUUUAAUUUUUUUAGAUGGCUCCUAAGAGGAAACCAGCAGCACCUACUUAUUCUCAGUUGUUUGGCGAUGGUUCCGGAGCAUCUUUUUCCGGUUCAUCAUCUUCCGAUGCAGUUCCAGACUCUCAGACUUCUCAGAGAGUUUCUUGGAGUCCUCCUCCUCCACCGCAGAUGCCUCCACCUCCUCCUCUAGCGGCUGCAUCUCAGCCUGCCCCAGCAGGUGCAGUUCAUCCAGAUUUG